AGCUUGAAAUAAGUAUUUCAUUUACAUUGAAAUGAUAUUGUAAUUAACAAUUAAUUUGA
This 59-nucleotide transfer RNA is filed under the name Hellula undalis. RNAcentral describes it as "tRNA-Val". Lineage: Eukaryota; Metazoa; Arthropoda; Insecta; Lepidoptera; Crambidae. The record is from RNAcentral.